RNAcentral lists this ribosomal RNA (440 nucleotides) under uncultured bacterium. RNAcentral's name for it is "bacterial SSU rRNA". It matches the Rfam family "Bacterial small subunit ribosomal RNA", at positions 340 to 773 of the family's 1533-position model. The record is from RNAcentral.
UACGGGAGGCAGCAGUGGGGGAAUAUUGCACAAUGGGCGCAAGCCUGAUGCAGCCAUGCCGCGUGUAUGAAGAAGGCCUUCGGGUUGUAAAGUACUUUCAGUCGUGAGGAAGGUGUUAAGGUUAAUAACCUUAGCAAUUGACGUUAGCGACAGAAGAAGCACCGGCUAACUCCGUGCCAGCAGCCGCGGUAAUACGGAGGGUGCGAGCGUUAAUCGGAAUUACUGGGCGUAAAGGGCACGCAGGCGGUUAAUUAAGUUGGAUGUGAAAUCCCCGGGCUUAACCUGGGAAUGGCAUUCAAGACUGGUUAGCUAGAGUCUUGUAGAGGGGGUAGAAUUCCAUGUGUAGCGGUGAAAUGCGUAGAGAUGUGGAGGAAUACCGGUGGCGAAGGCGGCCCCUGGACAAAGACUGACGCUCAUGUGCGAAAGCGUGGGGAGCAAAC